UUUUUUUUUUUUUUUUUUUUUUUUUUUUUUUUUUUUUGA
This 39-nucleotide non-coding RNA is filed under the name Alexandrium minutum. Lineage: Eukaryota; Dinophyceae; Gonyaulacales; Pyrocystaceae. The record is from RNAcentral.